GGGGAAGUUAUGGGAUAUGGGAGGAUCGGAAAGCAUAAUAUCUCAUUCCUUUAUGAUGAUGAUGAUGAUAUCUAAAUUCCUUUCCGAUUCCACCCAUUCCUAUUAUUUCCUU
This 112-nucleotide non-coding RNA is filed under the name Ammopiptanthus mongolicus. Lineage: Eukaryota; Viridiplantae; Streptophyta; Magnoliopsida; Fabales; Fabaceae. The record is from RNAcentral.